Molecule: ribosomal RNA, 373 nt
Filed under: uncultured bacterium
Lineage: Bacteria
Description: bacterial SSU rRNA
Rfam family: Bacterial small subunit ribosomal RNA
Source: RNAcentral
CACGGGUGAGUAACGCGUGGAAUGUACCCUUUAGUACGGAAUAGCUCCGGGAAACUGGAAUUAAUACCGUAUACCGCCCUUCGGGGGAAAGAUUUAUCGCUAAAGGAUCAGCCCGCGUGAGAUUAGGUAGUUGGUGGGGUAAUGGCCUACCAAGCCUACGAUCUCUAGCUGGUCUGAGAGGAUGAUCAGCCACACUGGAACUGAGACACGGUCCAGACUCCUACGGGAGGCAGCAGGUGGGGAAUAUUGGACAAGUGGGGGAAACCCUGAUCCAGCCAUGCCGCGUGAAUGAUGAAGGCCUUAGGGUUGUAAAGUUCUUUUACCGAUGAAGAUAAUGACGGUAGUCGGAGAAAAAGCCCCGGCUAACUUCGUG